UACGUAGGGGGCAAGCGUUGUCCGGAAUUAUUGGGCGUAAAGAGCGUGUAGGCGGCCAGGUAGGUGGGUUGUGAAAACUGGAGGCUCAACCUUCAGACGUCGACCUAAACCCCCUGGCUAGAGUCCGGAAGAGGAGAGUGGAAUUCCUGGUGUAGCGGUGAAAUGCGCAGAUAUCAGGAAGAACACCCGUGGCGAAGGCGGCUCUCUGGGACGGUACUGACGCUGAGACGCGAAAGCGUGGGGAGCGAACAGG
Molecule: ribosomal RNA, 253 nt
Filed under: uncultured bacterium
Lineage: Bacteria
Description: partial 16S ribosomal RNA
Rfam family: Bacterial small subunit ribosomal RNA
Source: RNAcentral